Molecule: long non-coding RNA, 529 nt
Filed under: Equus caballus (horse)
Lineage: Eukaryota; Metazoa; Chordata; Mammalia; Perissodactyla; Equidae
Description: lncRNA (ENSECAG00000048760.1)
Source: RNAcentral
CUCGCGUCUGUUUACCCUGCUGGACUCAGUGGGCUUCCUCAGCAGGCUCAUGGGCAGAGGCUUUGUCUGUCUGUCAGGAAUCUCCACACUGAGAGGGCAUCUUACUCACGUGGUGUACACUGUGUUCAGCCAGGCCCUCUAAGAAACAGACACCAAGAUGAGGAAACCGAUGCAAGACAUCAAGCAGCUUCUGAGGUCGCGUGUUUGGAAGCCCAGCCCUCAAAGUGGAUGAACUUGCCCUAGGAGGAAGUUAAGCACCGUUGUCAUCAACACGGCCAUCAAUACCAUCAAAAGACAUUUAUUAAGCACCUAAUUGUGCAUAGCUCUGACUUCGACUGUGAACAGAGAAUCAGGUGAUUUGCUGUUAGACGGGGUAAAGUGCCGGGCCAGGACGAUCCUGCUGCAGAGAGCAACACAAAGGCGUCAGGCUGCAGGCCAAGUCUAGAUCGUUCCAUUAUCCUGGGAGGGGGCGGUCACCCAUAUAUUUUCCUUAAAAUACAUACACAGAAAUAAAAUACAUAAAAAUUUG